GAUGAAGAACGUAGCGAAAUUCGAUAAGUAAUGUGAAUUGCAGAAUUCAGUGAAUCAUCGAAUCUUUGAACGCACAUUGCGCCCGCCAGUAUUCUGGCGGGCAUGCCUGUUCGAGCGUCAUUUCAACCCUCAAGACCCCUUCGGGGGACUUGGUGUUGGGGACCGGCACAGGGGCCUGCCUGCUUGUCUUGCAGCGCCCUCGCCGCCCCCGAAAUGAAUUGGCGGCCUCGUCGCGGCCUCCCCUGCGUAGUAGCACAAACCUCGCAACGGGAACGUGACGGCGGCCACUGCCGUAAAACAACCCAAUUUUAUUAGAGUUGACCUCGAAUCAGGUAGGAAUACCCGCUGAACUUAAGCAUAUCAAUAAGCGGAGGA
This 375-nucleotide unclassified non-coding RNA is filed under the name soil metagenome. RNAcentral's name for it is "partial contains 5.8S ribosomal RNA, internal transcribed spacer 2, and large subunit ribosomal RNA". The stretch from base 1 to 120 matches the Rfam family "5.8S ribosomal RNA", at positions 35 to 154 of the family's 154-position model. The record is from RNAcentral.